Molecule: ribosomal RNA, 500 nt
Filed under: uncultured bacterium
Lineage: Bacteria
Description: partial 16S ribosomal RNA
Rfam family: Bacterial small subunit ribosomal RNA
Source: RNAcentral
GAUGAACGCUAGCGACGUGCUUUAGGCAUGCAAGUCGAACGGCAGCACGGACUUCGGUCUGGUGGCGAGUGGCGAACGGGUGAGUAAUACAUCAGAACGUGCCCAAUCGUGGGGGAUAACGUAGCGAAAGCUACGCUAAUACCGCAUACGAUCUAAGGAUGAAAGCGGGGGAUCGCAAGACCUCGCGCGAAUGGAGCGGCGGAUGGCAGAUUAGGUAGUUGGUAGGGUAAAGGCCUACCAAGCCGACGGUCUGUAGCUGGUCUGAGAGGAUGACCAGCCACACUGGGACUGAGACACGGCCCAGACUCAUACGGGAGGCAGCAGUGGGGAAUUUUGGACAAUGGACGCAAGUCUGAUCCAGCCAUUCCGCGUGCAGGAUGAAGGCCCUCGGGUUGUAAACUGCUUUUGUACAGAACGGAAAGGCUCUGGUUAAUACCUGGGGCUCAUGACGGUACUGUAAGAAUAAGCACCGGCUAACUACGUGCCAGCAGCCGCGGUAA